RNAcentral lists this ribosomal RNA (445 nucleotides) under uncultured marine bacterium. Its description in RNAcentral is "bacterial SSU rRNA". It matches the Rfam family "Bacterial small subunit ribosomal RNA", at positions 360 to 804 of the family's 1533-position model. The record is from RNAcentral.
AAUCUUCGGCAAUGGACGAAAGUCUGACCGAGCGAUGCCGCGUGCGGGAUGAAGGCCCUCGGGUUGUAAACCGCUGUCAGUUGGGAGGAAGGCUCCGUGAAGAGCGGAGUUUGACCUAUCUUCAGAGGAAGUACGGGCUAAGUUCGUGCCAGCAGCCGCGGUAACACGAACCGUACGAACGUUAUUCGGAAUUAUUGGGCUUAAAGGGUGCGUAGGCGGCGUUGUAGGUGGGGAGUGAAAGCCCUCGGCUCAACCGAGGAAUUGCGCCCCAAACCACAGUGCUAGAGGGAGACAGAGGUAAGCGGAACUGAUGGUGGAGCGGUGAAAUGCGUUGAUAUUAUCAGGAACACCGGUGGCGAAAGCGGCUUACUGGGUCUCUUCUGACGCUGAGGCACGAAAGCUAGGGUAGCGAACGGGAUUAGAUACCCCGGUAGUCCUAGCUGUA